This 495-nucleotide ribosomal RNA is filed under the name uncultured bacterium. RNAcentral describes it as "partial 16S ribosomal RNA". It matches the Rfam family "Bacterial small subunit ribosomal RNA", at positions 28 to 507 of the family's 1533-position model. The record is from RNAcentral.
GAUGAACGCUAGCUACGUGCCUAAUACAUGCAAGUAGAAGGCUGAAGGCAGAGAUUGCUCUUUUUUAUUAGUUGCGGACGGGCGCGUGACGGGUAGGCGACUUGCCUGGUAGCGGAGGACUACGGUUUGAAACUAUAGCAAAUACCCCAUUACAACAUUUAUUCCAUCAUAAACAUCUAAAAGGGGCAACUGCUCUACUACCAGAUGGACGUGCGUCGUAUUAGCUACUUGGUGAGGUAACGGCUCACCAAGGCGACGAUACCUAGCCGACCUGAGACGGUGAUCGGCCACACUGAGACUGGAACGCGGCCCAGACCCCAACGGGAGGCAGCAGUAGGGGAGAGUCGGCUAUGGACGGGAGUGUGACCGUGCACCGCCGCGUGAGUGAAGAAGGUGUUCGGAUCGUAAAGCGUUGUUGUAAGAGAAGAGCGAGUGUGAGGGGGGAAAGUUCACAUUGUGACGGUAUCUUACGAGAAAGGGACGGCUAACUACGUG